GUCAACGGCCAUAUCACGUAGAACGCACCUGGUCUCGUCAGCUACCAGAAGUUAAGUUACGUCGAGUCUUUGGUAGGUUGACCGCUUGGGAAUACGGGAUGUCGUUGGCG
Molecule: non-coding RNA, 110 nt
Organism: Daphnia pulex (common water flea)
Lineage: Eukaryota; Metazoa; Arthropoda; Branchiopoda; Diplostraca; Daphniidae
Source: Rfam